GUCCGAUUAAUCAUCCUCCUUUUCCAUUACAAUAAAGAGAGAGAGUUCAAAUGAUGUUGAAGGUUUUCCACAUUGUACAGGAAGAUCCUUCAAUUUUUCAGGCCUGUUGAGAGCGUUCAAAUGGCUUCGCCUGUCAAAUUUUUCAGGCCAGGAAGAUCCACAUUGUAAAUGCUUUCUUUCUUGAUUUUCAAUUCGGUAUCCUUCAAUUUUCAGCAUUCAGGGUGUGCUUGCUUCUCUAGUUGCAAAAUAAGUUAUAUUGAUCCUUAUUGAAAAUCAAGAAAG
RNAcentral lists this unclassified non-coding RNA (282 nucleotides) under Hevea brasiliensis (rubber tree). The record is from RNAcentral. Lineage: Eukaryota; Viridiplantae; Streptophyta; Magnoliopsida; Malpighiales; Euphorbiaceae.